RNAcentral lists this ribosomal RNA (4962 nucleotides) under Triticum aestivum (bread wheat). RNAcentral describes it as "partial small subunit ribosomal RNA". The record is from RNAcentral. Lineage: Eukaryota; Viridiplantae; Streptophyta; Magnoliopsida; Poales; Poaceae.
GCCAGAUCCGCGAGCUGGCCUACAACGUGGAGGACUGCAUCGAGCUCCUCGUCCACGUCGACAAUGGGACGACCAGCUUCUGGCUCCGCCUCCGCCGGCUCUGCGUCCCCUGGGCGCGCCCGCCGGCGCUCGACCAGGCGCUCGACGAGAUGGAGCAGCUCAAGGCCAGGGUCGCCGACGUCAGCACCACCUGCUUGGUUCUGCAGACCUCACCGUAUAGUUGUUGUUCAGGUGCCUAGAGGUAUUGGGAAACUGACGGCGUUGCACACGCUUGGUGUUGUCAACACUCAACAUCUCUGCUUCCGGUGGGAAGGCCAUGGCCAAAGCUGCUCUCAAGAAGCUCACCCAGUUGCGCAAGCUCCGAGUGUCCGGCGUUAACAGGAAGAACAGCAAGGAUAUGUUCUCUGCAAUCAAGGGCCAUCUCCAUCUGGAAUCCGUUGUCUGUCCAGCCUGACCAUUUUAUAGGUGCGCAACUCCAGCUCAUUAUCUGUCAAGUUUGGUUCAGAGACGAUGAAAAGUCUUGAGCUGCUCAAGCUACUGGUAUAUAUAUUUAAUAGGAAAGCUAGCCAAUAUGUCCAGCCUUCUCUCACAUUGCUCAACGGUCCUUAACACCAUUGUGGUUUGAGUGGAAAACUGCUCAACUGUCCUUUUUCUCACAUUGCUGCCAAAAGUGCAAGGGAAAAAUGGAGACAACACUAAGAGGCUUCUCUGACGAGCACAAUGAUCUGAGUGGAAAAGAGUGAGAUUGUUGAAAAACAGUGCAUCUUAUCCCAAGCCAAGCAAGAAAGAGUCGAACACGGUGGGCAUGAGUCAAGUCAAUGCAUACUUUUCUACGCGGUAGGUGGGCAUCUCAUUGGGUUGGUGGUAUAUAUCCAACUGAGGCUAGCAGGAAGCGGUUCCUUCUCAGAAGCUUCAUCCCCGUUUCUCCUCUGCUCUCUUCACAACUGCUAGAGGAUCCCUCAAGAGUCCCAUCUUCACAAGAAAUGGCUACUAGUGCUAGCGGAGGUAGAACUCAAGAGAACAAGCCGAGCAUUUUGAGCACAUUACCGAAGCAUCUGCCAUUAGACUUUCUGAAGAGUAUCACAGAUCAGUUCUCAGAGAAGCGUGUAAUUGGUGAAGGCGCUUUUGGAACUGUUUAUAAGGGAACAGCGCCAGAUGGGGAAACCAUUGCUGUGAAGAAACUUGCCGAAAACUCGCCCCUUCCACGAGAUAAAGCAUUUAAUAAUGAGGUUCAAAAUAUUAUGGCUCUCCAUCAUGAAAAUGUUGUAAAGUUGGUUGGUUACUGUCAUGAAAGUCAAAAGAAAGUGGUGCAGAACAAUGGAAGGUAUAUUGUUGCUGACAUUGUUGAAAGUGUACUCUGCUACGAAUAUUUACCAGGGGGAAGCCUUAAGAAGAAUCUUUUUGGAGAUACCAAAAUGGACUGGGACACACGAUUCAACAUAAUUAAGGGGAUCUGCGAGGGUUUACUCUUUGUACACAGCAUUCCUAUUGUCCAUAUGGAUCUUAAGCCCGAAAAUAUACUGCUGGAUAGUAACAUGGUACCGAAAAUAGCGGAUUUUGGUCUCUCGCGACUCUUCGGUCAAGAACAAACACGGAUGAACACACAAAAUGUAGUGGGGUCAUAUGGAUACAUUGCUCCAGAAUAUCUAUACAGAGGUGAAAUCUCCACAAAGUCAGACAUAUACAGUUUAGGUGUACUAAUCCUGGAGACCACCACAAGAGAGGAGAAUUGCCGCGGGAACAAACCAUCUGCAGAACAAUUUAUUAAAAAGGUACGUGAAAAUUGGACAGAGCAGCACAUCGUAUCAGAGUACCCAUCAUUAAAAGCAGAUAGCCUCCGACAAAUAAAAAAAUGCAUCGAAAUUGGACUGCAAUGUGUUGAGACUGAUCGGCAGAGGAGACCUUCCAUAGAAGCAAUUAUCAACCAGCUCAAUGGACGGCAUUCUAAUUGAGCUACGAUGCCGUACUGAUCUCCAGUCUCGAGGGAGAAUUAAGUUCGGGUCUUCUUCAGGAGACAUGUGCAAGAAGCAAAGGACAUGCUCGGCUGUUUGCCAAAUAAUUUGCUUCGAUAUGUACGUCAUUGUGGAACCUGUUAGCUUUCAUUUCUUAUGAUGAUUGCUACUCCAGAUACAGUGCAGUUGCCUGUCCAAUUUAAGUGCGACGUAAGAGUUUUAUUCUCCCCAUGUAGAUUUUAAGACGCGCUAACAUUUUCUCAAGGGCAAUUAGAGUAUUUGUAGUUCUAAUUUCUAAACAUAAUACACUCUCACAUUUAAUUUACAAAAAAAACUGCUUAAGGAUUUUUUGCCGAAAAAGGCCGGUAUACCCUAGGCCUCUCUGCGCCAAUUGUAUGCAUGUAUCCAUCAUUAAGAAGCUUCACGUACAAAGUAAAGUCAUACAAGCCAGAUAAAAAGGCCAACACAACCGAAAGGCAAUAGAGAUUACAUGACACUCUCAAGGACCACUAAUACUAACUGUGUGGUGCUUGAUAUCAGGAUUUUUUUUUAAUCUAGCUUGAUAUCAGGUGGGGAGCGCAGCGAAUAGUCAAUAAUAGUGCAGCCUGAUUGCUUACCUGGGCCAGCCAGGCCAUCAGUUCUCUCUUUUGAAAAAUGUUCAACCUGUGUUUAAAAAUGUUCAUUGUGUAUGAAAAAAAGGUUCAAAGUGCUUUUCACAAAUGCUCAACAUGUAUUCAGAUAAUUUUUUCAGAAAAACAUGUAUUCUAAUAAAUAUUAAUCAUAUAUUUAAAAAAUGUUCAACAUGUGUCUAAAAAUGUCCAGCCUGUACGGAAGAUGUUCAAUUGCUAUAUAUUUAAAAUUCGACAUGUAUUUGAAAAUUCUAAAAAUAAAAUAAAAAUAACCGAAAAUAACAAAAACAUAGUAAAACGAAAAAUGAACAGAAACAAAAAGAAAAUCAAUAAUAACUGAUAGAGAAACAUAGAAAAUAUUUUAUAACUUGCAAAACCUUCCCAAAAGUGGGCGGAAGUUUUUUUUUCUGGGACAAGGCGGAAGCGUGCAUGCUUGCAUGCGUGCGCUGCCAGGACCGCGGGUCUUGAUGCUGUCGUGGGCGAUUUUUAUGUUGCUAGCUUCUUCAAAUUUGGAUUUUUCUACUGGUGUUUGACAACAGUUUGACCACAGUUUGACCAGAUUUGACCAAAAUUCAAAAAAACUGAAAUAAUUAUUUAGUAACACUAAUAUUCUUGAAUAAUUAUUUAGUAACACUAAUACUUCUUGAAUAAGUAGUUUGACCAUAGUUUGACCAGAUUUAACAAAAAUUAAAAAAACCCAGAAAUUUGAGCAUAACUUUUUUUCCUUUUAGAAUUUGAGGAUUCUCAAAAUUUGCAAAUAGGCCGUAGGCUGUCAAAAUCGGAUGCGGAUUUUCGUGCUGAACAUUUUGAUAUAUUAUACUUUUUUUCUGACAUCGUAUGCAAAACUACAUCUGGAAGGAUUUUAAUUUCUGAAGUUUUUAUCAUUUUCUUUUGCUUUUUACAAAACUGAAAAGGCGAUCCGGGGAGAGGGGGGUAGAGUUUGAAAAUGGGACCUUUAGUACCGGUUCGUGCCAUGAACCGGUACUAAUGCCUCAAACCCCAUUAGUACCGGUUGGUGGCUCAAAUCGGGACUAAAGGUAACCUUUAGUACCGGUUGGUGCCACGAACCGGUACUAAUGGGCAUCGCACCCAUUAGUGCACCCAUUAGUACCGGUUCGUGGCACCAACCGGGACUAAAGGUCUCAUUUGAACCGGGACUAAUGCCUGUACGGUGCCCUAGCCGCCUGAACCAGACUAAUGCUCUUUUCUGGCCGAAUCAAAGCCAUGUUUUCUACUAGUGGAAGAGGACGACCCAUGAAGAGGCUGCACCGGUUCUGCGGCAACGUUGACCGCUACAAUUUCUUCACCGAGCUGGGGAANNNNNNNNNNCAUCUGGAAGGAUUUUAAUUUCUGAAGUUUUUAUCAUUUUCUUUUGCUUUUUACAAAACUGAAAAGGCGAUCCGGGGAGAGGGGGGUAGAGUUUGAAAAUGGGACCUUUAGUACCGGUUCGUGCCAUGAACCGGUACUAAUGCCUCAAACCCCAUUAGUACCGGUUGGUGGCUCAAAUCGGGACUAAAGGUCUCAUUUGAACCGGGACUAAUGCCUGUACGGUGCCCUAGCCGCCUGAACCAGACUAAUGCUCUUUUCUGGCCGAAUCAAAGCCAUGUUUUCUACUAGUGGAAGAGGACGACCCAUGAAGAGGCUGCACCGGUUCUGCGGCAACGUUGACCGCUACAAUUUCUUCACCGAGCUGGGGAAGAGAUAGACAUGUGGGUUAAUGGUGCUCGCUCAGGAUCCCCGCAGUGGCAUCUUGCAGAACUGCAGCGAGAGGGUGUCACACUUCAAUUCUUAUUCUAGCUAGCUCUCCUUCUCUGCUUGCGUUGGACUUGUUCUACAGCAGAGUAGAAUACAGUAGGGAGGGAGGCUAGAGGCUAGGGGAGAAUCUGGAGUGAGCUAGAGUGCCGUGCGUGCACUUUUAUCACGGGAAAGUUUGUCGCGGGUGGCAGUCGACACAGCCAGCGGGGGAGAAGUGCAAGCGGCGUCGGCCGGCCGUGACGGCGUCCAUUACCAAUGAUAUGGCAGAAUAAUGGCCCACCAAGACCGAUCGUGCGGCUGCGUCAAAACUCCGAACUUGAGCUAGCGGUGCCGUCGGCUGCUGAAUACUGUCGAGCACAAGGUCAAUAUGUACAGCUCUGAUUUUUUUUUUUUGCUGGAGUGAGCAUAGUUUUUUUUAGGGAAGAGUGAGCAUAGUUUUUCCGCGGUUAUAAUUGAAGUUCAACGAUAUCUUGCUGUCGAUUUUAUGUAAAGUUUAAGUUGAUGCUGCUGCAGGAUGUGGCCUAUUUUUACAUGAACAGAGAUGGGUUCGCCCUAUUCACAAUCUUCUGAUUUACAAUUUCUCCAUGGAGCUCUAUGUUUUGGCAGCAAUCCAUGGAGUUAUGUCC